This is a long non-coding RNA of Trifolium pratense (red clover), 971 nucleotides long. RefSeq lists it as uncharacterized. The transcript has 2 exons. The record is from RefSeq and is a predicted model, not a curated record. Lineage: Eukaryota; Viridiplantae; Streptophyta; Magnoliopsida; Fabales; Fabaceae.
AUAAAAAAUGUUAGAGAUAUUUUGUUAGAUGGAAUAUUUUAGAUGCUUUUAGGUAUAGAAGAUAUAGUACGUAUAUAUCCUCAAUUUCACACACUCAAUCAAACACACGCGAAGAAGAACAACAAAGGAAGAAUGAAGAACAUGAAAACGAUGAAGGAGUCGAACAACACGAUGAAGAAUCCGGCGAAAACGAGGAACAACACACGACGAAAUCGAAGAACAGCACGAAGAAUAAUCUGGCGAAAACGAAGUAUGAAGAAGCGAACAAGAAGAACGAAUCUGAGGGGUCUGUGUUCGAACCAAUAAUUUCUCGUUUUCGCAGUUCCGGUAUAGGUGAAGAGAAUUAUGAGAUAUGUGCAAGGUACAAUGGAUUAUGGAGUGCUGUUUCCAAACAAUGUCAACAAUGCAGUGAAUAGAUUGGGAGGAUUUUCAGAAUCUGACUGGUAUGGAGAUCAUGUGGACAAAAGAAGCACUACAGGUUACAUAUUCAAAUUCUUAAAUGCUCCAAUUCCAUGGUGUUCCAAGAAGCAGCCAGUGAUUUCCCUCUCAUCUUGUGAGGCAGAGUACAUUUCUUGUGCUUUUGCUGCUUGUCAAGGCAGCAAAACUGAACUUAGUGAACCAAUUCAACUCCUUGUUGACAACAAGUCUGCUAAGAAAAGGGAGAAUUGUGCUAUCUCACUGCCCUAAUGUAGAACAAGAAGCUGACAUAUUGACAAAAGGACUGAGGAGCAAGAUUGGAGUCAUGUCCUUAGAGCAUUUGAAUUAAGGGGGCAUGUUAUGAAUGUAAUUCAAAUGCCUUGUGCUAGUUAGUUAGUUAGAUUACAGUUAGUUACUAUAGUUAGUUAGCUUGUUAUAACUGCUUACUAUAGUUAGUUUUAGUCUACUGUAGUUACUUGUGAUUCAAGUAAUCACACUAUAUAAGCUUGUACAAACAGAAUUUUUAUUAAUGCAAUUACUUUACCUUUCUCUUA